This 3167-nucleotide long non-coding RNA is filed under the name Gallus gallus (chicken). The record is from RNAcentral. Lineage: Eukaryota; Metazoa; Chordata; Aves; Galliformes; Phasianidae.
UGCAUUUGUACUGGCAGAGGCCGUCCUCGCCGCCCAGGAGGUCGAGCGCCGCGUUGAGGUAAACGUCGAUCUUGUGCACGCCGUUCCGGAUAGUUUUCAGCGUCAUCCUCCAGUCUGGGGUCUGCGGCGCCUCCUGGCUCCGGGCCGCCGGCGGCCGCGGGCCCACCCAGGCACCCGCCAUCAGCAGCGGCAGCAGCAGCAGGGCGCGGGCCAUGCCCGAGGAGCCGCGCCCCGCGCCGCCGGGCGCUCGCUAAGCCCCCGCCGCGCGGCCGCAGCGCUCCGCACGCACGGCCCGGCCCGCCGCCAUCGGCCCCGCGGGCGCCGCCCCUACGGCUGGGCGGGACUGCGAGCAGGGCGCGGCCUGUUGGAGAAGGCGGCCGGCGUCCGCUCCUGGCCCGGCGCUGCGGUGUGGGGUGCUGGGAGCGGAGCUGCUCCGGGAUCUUUCCACGUGCGAGCGAUUCGCUUUCAGGUGAGGCAGGGUGGAACCACACGGGAAUCGUUCUAAUUUCUGCAACGAAAGCCUUGUUUUAAGACGUGUGGAAUUCCUCAAAAGACGGACAGAGGGAUUUUAGGACACAGGUAACUGCAGGGGACGGGAAAUAUAAAGAACAUGGAAAGGCUUCCGGAUCUGCAGGCGGGCGCGAAAGUACCCGGGUUUCCAGACACUGGGAGACCAGUAUAUUGUUUUCUGUGAAAUGGAGAAACGCCUCUGAUCAUCCUUGUUACUUCUUUCUCAGAAAGAUGAGAGGACUGGAACUUGCAGAUACAGUCUCUAAAGCGAUAGACUGCUCUCCUCUACCAGGAAACACCAGAAAUUCCCCCUCCUGCCCCGUCAAUCUUUUGGAGCUUUCUAAAGCCCAAAGGAGCAUUAGGUAAGAAGAUCAUUCCCCUGGUGUGAUUUUCACUCUUCCUGGUCACCCACAAGCUAUACUCUUCAAAAAUCAGCUGAAGUGCACAACAGAUGAUAAACAUUUCAAGCCAGUGGUUUAUAGCACACCACAACAAUGGAACUGUGAGCAAAUUAAAAUAUAAGGGGACUUCACAGAAUCACACAGAAUGGCCUGGGUUGGAAGGGACUUCAAGGAUCAUGAAUCUCCAACCCACCCCCCUGCCCCCCCGGCACUGGCAGGGCCACCAACCUCUACAUUUAAUACUAGAGCAGGCUGCCAAGAGCCCCGUCCAGCCUAGCCUUGAACACCUCCACGGAUGGGGGAUCCACAACCUCUCUGGGCAGCCUGUUCCAGCACCUUACCACUCUCACAGUAAAGAACUUGCCCCUGACAUCCAACCUAAAUCUUCCCUCCUUCAACUUAAAACCAUUUCCCCUUGUCCUGCUAUUAUCUCCCCUUUCAAAGAAUUGACUCCCCUAACUUGGCUUAAACACCAGAAAAAUGAAAUUAAAAAAAAAAGAGUAGCAACUUGAUUUUUUUUCAAGACCUUUUUAUUGUCCCAGUUGACCCAGUUGACAUAACUAUAGCCAAUAACUACUUAGAAACAAAUAAAUCUAAAAUUGAAGAUGUGUUUCAUUGCAAGUAACAAGUAUUAAGUAUCUUCAACAAAUGUGAAAAUUAAGUGCCCUUCCCAGUCUGUUUUGUUCCCAUAUCUUGGAUGGCAGUGGGUUUGCAGUGUGGUUUCUGGUUGUUGUGGACUGCAAGGAGUGCUCCUUAUCCCUCCAUCUGACCAUCUGUCUCUAGGUGAGUGAUAACACCUAUCCUGGCAGCUCUCUGGUUAUUCCAUUGCUGGCUGAGUGCUUUUGCUCACUAAGAUGUGUGUGCAGGGGGAAUGUUGAAAUGUGAAAAAUAUGUAGCUAGACUUUGCAUAAAGAUGAGAAAGAAAUGUCAGUUGUCAGAUCGGAUUUAUCGGCUUUGAGUGCAUCCACUGAAUCAACAGAGCCAAAGUUUAAAGUUCUCGUGAAGAAAUCCUGGCCUAAGUAAAGGCAGUGGGAAUGUCGCCAGGGCUGAAUUUAUUCCGAGCCCCUCCCACCCUUUUAAGGGCUGUAUAAUCUUAAUAAAUUCUUCCUGUUCUUCUCAGGUCAGUAGAAUCCUAUGCAUUAUCUUUAGAUUUACAUACCAAACUCUGAGCCAGGCCCGGCUUGGCAUAACUCCUGUAUUGCACUAGAUGUUUCUCUUUAGCUCUGACAGAAUAGCAACAAAAGGGGCUGAUCUUUACCUACGGGUUUUUCUUGGAAAGCUCAGGCUAUGCUGAACAUGGAGCCCAUCAGGACUCCUUGAGAGGCUUUUGCCAGAAGAGAUUUUACAACAAAAGCUUUCUGAGCUGAGCCACACUUGCAGGUUGGGUUUAGCAUAGCAUCCCGAUUAAAAGAUUUUCCAAAAGGCUGUUAAUGUAAACCUCAGAUAGAACCGAUAUACAGAGGAGAAACAGCAAGAUUCACAUUUUCAAGCUGGACUAAAACAAAUGUACGAAAUGCAGAUGCUGCAAAAGGAAAUUAAAAAAGACUUUGUUUUUAUAAUAAUAAAUUGUUUUAACUGUUUGCUGUUGGUUGGUUUGUUUUUAAAAUAAGGGGAUACCACAAUAAAAUAAGUUCUUACCUGUGCUCGACAGAAAGAAAAGAGAGAGAAGCAAACCAAGAGAACUGCAACCACUCUCAUGAUGAGGUUUUAUGUCUUUGUAGAGAAAUUCCCCUGGCCGGGACUUUCCCAAUUGCCAGUCGUUAGGUUUGUGUUUAAUUUUUAACCUUUGGUAAAACACUCUGAAGUGGACUCAGAAACAACUACGGGAGCCUUAGAUAUCAACGGAUGAGUCUGCUCUCUCCACACGGAUCCCACCCCAUUUAACCUGUUUUACUGUAAAUAGAGACCAAAGGGAAGCCCUUGAAGCCAACGGUUACAAGGGAGUGCUCAGCAGGGUCUCUCGCUCCCCGCCUGCUGCCAACGCAGACCGAUGGAGCCGCGGGCCGAUCUCCUGGCAGCAGGCACCCCGCUCUGCAGGGAGCUGUUAGGGCAGGUGCGUUCUUAGGUGAGAUACGUGUGUCUGUAUGCAGGCAGGCAAACGGAACGGAUCAACUCCACUAUCUCCGUGCGAGAGCGUAACCGGCGGAGCCUUGCUCAGAGAACUGUUGGGGCAGUGGCCAAUCCACUGCAUCCCACCUGCGGGCGGUUUCCGGGAGAACCGCGGUCUCGGCCGGCACAACGGAACGGCUCCUGCGA